UUGGCUUUUGGAAAGAAGAGCUUUUCUUCUCUUAGAAACUGAUUUUUUUUUAAGCAUCAGCUGGACUGAUUGUUUCUUAUUCUGAAGUCAAUGUAUUAUAGUCCAUUCCAGUCAUGAUUCAUUUUGGUGUUGAAAUUGUCCAAAAUUUGCCCAGUAGAAUCCCCUUCAAGGUAGCUCCUGUCUUUUUAAACUAUUUUGUUUGGAAAUAUUUCAAACUUAUAAAAAAUUGCAAGGAUAAUAAUACAAAGGGCCACUCAUAUAUCCUUUUUCCAGAUUACCUACUGUUAACACUUUAUGCUAUUUGCAUCAUCAUUUGCAUGCUCUUUCUAUACAUACACAGUAUUUAUUUUUUUCCGAACCAUUUAAGACUAAGUUGUAUACAUCACCACCCUUUACCCUUAAGUAUUACAGUGUAUAUUUCCUAAUAGGGAUAUAUUUUGUUACAUAACCAAAGUAUAUUGUUAACUUGAGUAAAUUUAACAUUGAUUUAGUAUUUAUGUCUAAUCUGCCCUCCAUAUUCUAGUUUUGUUAGUUGAUCUAAUGUUCUUUUUAGUAAUUCCUUUCUAGAACAGAAUCCAGUCUAGGAUUGGGUAUUGGCUUUAGGUACCAAGUCUUUCUAAACUUUUCUGGGAUAUUUACACAGCUCGUAUUUUUUAUGACAUUGACAUUUUUGAAGAAAAGUCUGCUUCCCCUGCCCUGCCCUUCAAAACAUGCUUCUCACUUGGGGCAGUUUCUGGUGUGUCCUGCUGGUUGGAUGCAGGGUAUGCAUUUCAGGCUAGGGACAGUAAGUGAUGUGCUUUUCUCCGGGCCUCAUAUCUGGAGGCACUGAUGUCUAUCAGCCCUCAGUGGUAAUUCUGAUUUUGAUUUGAUAAGCAAAAAGAAAUUGUAUCCCCCUAGAUUUAGUGUCCAUCCAUUGAUGGUGCUUGCUAGAACCAGUCUUUAGUAUGAUGGUUAUAAGAACUGUCUUCUAAUUCCAGCAUUCCUUCUGCAUUUAAGCAAUUGGCAGUCAGCAUUCUGCAGCAUCCUUUGCCCCAUUUACUUAUCAUUGGUAUGAAUUCAUUAAUUUCUGUUUUUCUCCAGUGGCUUUGGUUCAUUUCUGUCCUUACUUUGUUGCUCAAAUGGUCUGAUUUGGCCUAGUGACUAGCUUUUGUAUCUUUUGACAUGUCAUUUCCUUACUUUUUUUAUUUACUUAUUUACUUUUGAGACCUAGUAUUGCUCUGUCACCCAGGUUGGAGUGCAGUGGCGCAACCUCAGCUCACUGCAACCUUCACCUCCCGGGUUCAUGCGAUUCUCCUGUCUCAGCCUCCCAAGUAGCUGAGAUUACAGGCAUAUGCCACCAUGUCCAGCUAAUUUUUGUGUUUUCAGUAGAGAUGGGGUUUCACCAUAUUGGCCAAGCUGGUCUCGAACUCCUGACCUCAGGUGAUCCACCUGCCUCGGCCUCCCAAAGUGCUAGAAUUAUAGGCGUGAGCCACCAUGCCCAGCCUUAUGUCAUCAUUUCUUGAGCACUCCUUUCUGCUUUCUAGCACAACACAUGUAUCUGUAUUUCUAUGUCUCUGUCUAUAAAUAUAUGUAAACCUUGAGUUUACACUGAUACAUCCAGUUUUAAAAUUUCAUGGUUCAUUUUAGUUUUACUUAUACUGGCUUUUUGGAUGAUGAGAAACCUGGUGGCUCCCAUGAUCCUUAAUAUAGUGACUUGAUCAAAGCCCUAUGUGUGACUAAUUCCCAUUACUGUUGCUGCCUCCUCUUCUGGAGGGAGCCCUUUUUCUUGGGCUCUCUCACCCUCCUAUGGAUGCUUGCUUGCUCCAUAGGACUGGAUUGUUCAGAAAGGGAAAGAAGGGU
This 1839-nucleotide long non-coding RNA is filed under the name Homo sapiens (human). RNAcentral describes it as "non-protein coding lnc-TSTD2-6:1". The record is from RNAcentral. Lineage: Eukaryota; Metazoa; Chordata; Mammalia; Primates; Hominidae.